GAGCGCUGAGGUUGGUACUUGUACCAACUGGAUGAGCAGCGAACGGGUGAGUAACGCGUGGGGAAUCUGCCUUUGAGCGGGGGACAACAUUUGGAAACGAAUGCUAAUACCGCAUAAAAACUUUAAACACAAGUUUUAAGUUUGAAAGAUGCAAUUGCAUCACUCAAAGAUGAUCCCGCGUUGUAUUAGCUAGUUGGUGAGGUAAAGGCUCACCAAGGCGAUGAUACAUAGCCGACCUGAGAGGGUGAUCGGCCACAUUGGGACUGAGACACGGCCCAAACUCCUACGGGAGCAGCAGUAGG
Molecule: ribosomal RNA, 302 nt
Filed under: Lactococcus lactis
Lineage: Bacteria; Bacillati; Bacillota; Bacilli; Lactobacillales; Streptococcaceae
Description: bacterial SSU rRNA
Rfam family: Bacterial small subunit ribosomal RNA
Source: RNAcentral